GAUGAACGCUGGCGGCGUGCCUAAUACAUGCAAGUCGAGCGAACGGACGAGAAGCUUGCUUCUCUGAUGUUAGCGGCGGACGGGUGAGUAACACGUGGAUAACCUACCUAUAAGACUGGGAUAACUUCGGGAAACCGGAGCUAAUACCGGAUAAUAUUUUGAACCGCAUGAUUCAAAAGUGAAAGACGGUCUUGCUGUCACUUAUAGAUGGAUCCGCGCUGCAUUUAGCUAGUUGGUAAGGUAAUGGCUUACCAAGGCGAUGAUGCAUAGCCGAGUUGAGAGACUGAUCGGCCACAAUGGAACUGAGACACGGUCCAGU
Molecule: ribosomal RNA, 319 nt
Filed under: uncultured bacterium
Lineage: Bacteria
Description: bacterial SSU rRNA
Rfam family: Bacterial small subunit ribosomal RNA
Source: RNAcentral